GUGCCUAAUACAUGCAAGUCGAACGAAACUUUCUUACACCGAAUGCUUGCAUUCACCGUAAGAAGUUGAGUGGCGGACGGGUGAGUAACACGUGGGUAACCUGCCUAAAAGAAGGGGAUAACACUUGGAAACAGGUGCUAAUACCGUAUAUCUCUAAGGAUCGCAUGAUCCUUAGAUGAAAGAUGGUUCUGCUAUCGCUUUUAGAUGGACCCGCGGCGUAUUAACUAGUUGGUGGGGUAACGGCCUACCAAGGUGAUGAUACGUAGCCGAACUGAGAGGUUGAUCGGCCACAUUGGGACUGAGACACGGCCCAAACUCCUACGGGAGGCAGCAGUAGGGAAUCUUCCACAAUGGACGCAAGUCUGAUGGAGCAACGCCGCGUGAGUGAAGAAGGUCUUCGGAUCGUAAAACUCUGUUGUUAGAGAAGAACACGAGUGAGAGUAACUGUUCAUUCGAUGACGGUAUCUAACCAGCAAGUCACGGCUAACUACGUGCCAGCAGCCGCGGUAAUACGUAGGUGGCAAGCGUUGUCCGGAUUUAUUGGGCGUAAAGGGAACGCAGGCGGUCUUUUAAGUCUGAUGUGAA
This 585-nucleotide ribosomal RNA is filed under the name Ligilactobacillus salivarius. RNAcentral describes it as "bacterial SSU rRNA". It matches the Rfam family "Bacterial small subunit ribosomal RNA", at positions 44 to 598 of the family's 1533-position model. The record is from RNAcentral. Lineage: Bacteria; Bacillati; Bacillota; Bacilli; Lactobacillales; Lactobacillaceae.